Molecule: ribosomal RNA, 253 nt
Filed under: uncultured bacterium
Lineage: Bacteria
Description: partial 16S ribosomal RNA
Rfam family: Bacterial small subunit ribosomal RNA
Source: RNAcentral
UACGGAGGGUGCGAGCGUUGUUCGGAAUCACUGGGCGUAAAGGGCGUGUAUGCGGUCCGCUAAGUCUGAUGUGAAAGCCCGGGGCUCACCCCCGGAAGUGCAUUGGAAACUGGCGAACUCGAGUCCCGGAGAGGAGAGUGGAAUUCCUGGUGUAGCGGUGAAAUGCGUAGAUAUCAGGAGGAAGACCAGUGGCGAAGGCGGGUCUCUGGACAGUUCCUGACACUGAGGCACGAAGGCCAGGGGAGCAAACGGG